GGCCGGAGCGGGGGAUUGUGGGAAGCGCGGGGAUGCGCGGGCUCCACAACUUGAGACCUGCGUGCUACGAACGCCAUUUGGCCGCGGAGUGCGAAGAGAAUGCUUUGUUGCGGACCCCCGUAGGACCUGGACCCCUCUGCUUCAGCAGGGUCGCAGGCGGCCCGGAGCAUGCGGAAUGGCAUUCAAGGCACCCCCUCCCCAGUCUAAAAAUAAACCCAUCCCGGGAGGCGACCCUUCCCAAAUGAGGCAGCUGCAAUUUGGAAACGCUGAAUAUUUAACUACAAAGAAAAGCUCAUCUGCUUGGCUGGCCUCCAGCAGAGUGUGGUAGCAGCAGGCAGGAGCCUGGCAGUGUGGGAGGAGACCUGACAGGAAACAGGGAAGAAUUUCCAGGUAUUGGUUCACCUCCACACUGGCUGGACAUGCAGAUACCUGCUACUAACAGGAGUCAGUCAUCUUAUGCAUUAAGCAACUUAACACGUUGCUGUCCCUAACUCCAACUUACUGGAUUUUAACAAUAACCGAGCAUCAAGAAGGGAUAUUUACCAAUAACUUGGAGGACCCAUAACUUCACUGUCUUCUUGCCGCUGCAACCUGCUGCCACGAAUCAUUUCCACCUGCUACAGAUCCCUUGCCACAGCACUCCAGUCCCGAUUUUCCCUCGGGCCUCUAGAUACCAUCACAGCAGCAUCAUCCUAUUAGCACAUAUUUUCUGAAUGCUUAAUUACCAGAUGAGGAAACUAGAGCCCAGAGAGGUUAAGUAACUUGCUCCACUCACAUGCCUGAGCAAUGGACCAUGAAUACAGCUCCUGUAUUCCACACAAGUGGUUAACGCCUGG
Molecule: long non-coding RNA, 836 nt
Filed under: Heterocephalus glaber (naked mole-rat)
Lineage: Eukaryota; Metazoa; Chordata; Mammalia; Rodentia; Bathyergidae
Description: lncRNA (ENSHGLG00100050229.1)
Source: RNAcentral